This 253-nucleotide ribosomal RNA is filed under the name uncultured bacterium. RNAcentral's name for it is "partial 16S ribosomal RNA". It matches the Rfam family "Bacterial small subunit ribosomal RNA", at positions 524 to 776 of the family's 1533-position model. The record is from RNAcentral.
UACGAAGGGUGCAAGCGUUACUCGGAAUUACUGGGCGUAAAGCGUGCGUAGGUGGUUUCUUAAGUCUGCUGUGAAAGCCCCGGGCUCAACCUGGGAAUUGCAGUGGAUACUGGGGAGCUAGAGUGCGGUAGAGGGUAGUGGAAUUCCUGGUGUAGCGGUGAAAUGCGUAGAUAUCAGGAGGAACACCGGCGGUGUAGACGGCUCUCUGGACCGUAACUGACGCUGAGACACGAAAGCGUGGGUAGCAAACAGG